Molecule: non-coding RNA, 136 nt
Organism: Hordeum vulgare subsp. vulgare (domesticated barley)
Lineage: Eukaryota; Viridiplantae; Streptophyta; Magnoliopsida; Poales; Poaceae
Source: Rfam
UUUAUACUCCCUCCGUCCCAAAAUUCUUGUCUUAUAUUUGUUUAUAUAUAAAUGUAUCUAGUCAUGUUUUAAUAUUUAGAUACAUUCAUUUAUAGACAAAAGUAAGACAACAAUUUUGAAACGGAGGGAGUAGAUA